This 1100-nucleotide ribosomal RNA is filed under the name uncultured organism. Its description in RNAcentral is "bacterial SSU rRNA". It matches the Rfam family "Bacterial small subunit ribosomal RNA", at positions 332 to 1431 of the family's 1533-position model. The record is from RNAcentral.
CAGACUCCUACGGGAGGCAGCAGUAAGGAAUAUUGGGCAAUGGACGCAAGUCUGACCCAGCCAUGCCGCGUGCAGGAUGACGGCCUUAUGGGUUGUAAACUGCUUUUGUAUGGGAUUAAAGUGUUGUACGUGUACGACAUUGCCAGUACCAUACGAAUAAGCAUCGGCUAACUCCGUGCCAGCAGCCGCGGUAAUACGGAGGAUGCCAGCGUUAUCCGGAAUCAUUGGGUUUAAAGGGUGCGUAGGUUGAUUAUUACGUCAGUGGUGAAAAUUCCGGGCUCAACCCGGGACUUGCCGUUGAAACUGAUAAUCUUGAGUGUAACUGAUGUGGGCGGAAUGUGUCAAGUACCGGUGAAAUGCAUAGAUAUGACACAGAACACCGAUAGCGAAGGCAGCUCACAAAAGUACAACUGACACUGAGGCACGAAAGCGUGGGUAUCAAACAGGAUUAGAUACCCUGGUAGUCCACGCUGUAAACGAUGAUCACUAGCUGUUUGCGAUACAUUGUAAGUGGUUAAGCGAAAGCGAUAAGUGAUCCACCUGGGGAGUACGUCGGCAACGAUGAAACUCAAAGGAAUUGACGGGGGCCCGCACAAGCGGAGGAGCAUGUGGUUUAAUUCGAUGAUACGCGAGGAACCUUACCUGGGCUUGAACGUAUGGUGCAUGAGUGUGAAAGCACUCUUUCCUUCACAGGACUUCAUACGAGGUGCUGCAUGGUUGUCGUCAGCUCGUGCCGUGAGGUGUUAGGUUAAGUCCUGCAACGAGCGCAACCCCUGUUUUUAGUUGCCAGCAGGUUAUGCUGGGCACUCUAGAAAGACUGCCUGCGCAAGCAGAGAGGAAGGUGGGGAUGACGUCAAAUCAGCACGGCCCUUACGUCCAGGGCUACACACGUGCUACAAUGGUCGGCACAGAGGGUGGCUACCCGGCAACGGGAUGCUAAUCUCCAAAGUCGAUCUUAGUUCGGAUCGAAGUCUGCAACUCGACUUCGUGAAGUUGGAUUCGCUAGUAAUCGUAUAUCAGCCAUGAUACGGUGAAUACGUUCCCGGGCCUUGUACACACCGCCCGUCAAGCCAUGGAAGUUGGGGGUACCUGAAGUCGAU